This 497-nucleotide ribosomal RNA is filed under the name uncultured bacterium. RNAcentral describes it as "partial 16S ribosomal RNA". It matches the Rfam family "Bacterial small subunit ribosomal RNA", at positions 28 to 507 of the family's 1533-position model. The record is from RNAcentral.
GGUGAACGCUGGCGGCAUGCCUAACACAUGCAAGUCGAGCGAACAAACGGGGAGAGCUCGCCUCUUACGUUGGCGACUGACGGGCGGGUAAGACGUAGAUAGCCCUCCUCUUAUACUUGGGUAACUACGUGAAACCGCAUCUAAUACUAGAUCAUAGAUCGUACGGCAUGAUUCCAGGGUUAUACAGGGUUUUCCUGACACUAUUAGAUGGAUCCGGGUCGCAUUAGCUAGUGGGUAAGGGCACGCCUUACCAAGGCUACGAUCCGGAGCCGACAGGAGAGGAUGAUCAGCCACACUGGAACUGAGACACGGUGCAGACUCCUACGGGAGGCAGCAGUGGGGAAUAUUGGACAAUGGGCGAAAGCCUGAUCGAGCAACACCGCGUGGGUGAUGAAGGGCUUCGGAUGGUAAAACGCUGUUAUUGGGGAAGAACAGCAGAGUAUUAAUCCACCCCUGUAUUGACGGUACCUAAACAGUAAGCACCGGCUAACUGCGUG